RNAcentral lists this ribosomal RNA (439 nucleotides) under uncultured bacterium. RNAcentral's name for it is "partial 16S ribosomal RNA". It matches the Rfam family "Bacterial small subunit ribosomal RNA", at positions 339 to 795 of the family's 1533-position model. The record is from RNAcentral.
CUGCGGGGUGCUGCAGUGAGGAAUAUUGCACAAUGGGGGGAACCCUGAUGCAGCAACGCCGCGUGGAGGAUGACGCAUUUCGGUGUGUAAACUCCUUUUAUAUGUCAAGAAAAUGACGGUAGCAUAUGAAUAAGCACCGGCUAACUCCGUGCCAGCAGCCGCGGUAAUACGGAGGGUGCAAGCGUUACUCGGAAUCACUGGGCGUAAAGGACGCGUAGGCGGGUUGGAAAGUCAGGUGUGAAAUCCUACAGCUUAACUGUAGAACUGCACUUGAAACUUCUAAUCUAGAGUAUGGGAGGGGGAGAUGGAAUUAGUGGUGUAGGGGUAAUAUCCGUAGAUAUCACUAGGAAUACCUAAAGCGAAGGCGAUCUCCUGGAACAUUACUGACGCUAAGGCGUGAAAGCGUGGGGAGCAAACAGGAUUAGAUACCCCUGUAGUC